GACGAACGCUGGCGGCGUGCCUAAUACAUGCAAGUUGAGCGAUGAAGAUUGGUGCUUGCCCCAAUUUGGAGAGCAGCGAACGGGUGAGUAACGCGUGGGUAAUCUGCCUUUGAGCGGGGGACAACAUUUGGAAACGAAUGCUAAUACCGCAUAACAACUUUAAACAUAAGUUUUAAGUUUGAAAGAUGCAAUUGCAUCACUCAAAGAUGAUCCCGCGUUGUAUUAGCUAGUUGGUGAGGUAAAGGCUCACCAAGGCGAUGAUACAUAGCCGACCUGAGAGGGUGGUCGGCCACAUUGGGACUGAGACACGGCCCAAACUCCUACGGGAGGCAGCAGUAGGGAAUCUUCGGCAAUGGACGAAAGGCUGACCGAGCAACGCCGCGGGAGUGAAGAAGGUUUUCGGAUCGUAAAACUCUGUUGGUAGAGAAGAACGUUGGUGAGAGUGGAAAGCUCAUCAAGUGACGGUAACUACCCAGAAAGGGACGGCUAACUACGUG
RNAcentral lists this ribosomal RNA (497 nucleotides) under uncultured bacterium. RNAcentral describes it as "partial 16S ribosomal RNA". It matches the Rfam family "Bacterial small subunit ribosomal RNA", at positions 28 to 507 of the family's 1533-position model. The record is from RNAcentral.